This is a non-coding RNA of Protopterus annectens (West African lungfish), 73 nucleotides long. NCBI's taxonomy places the organism in Eukaryota, Metazoa, Chordata, Ceratodontiformes, Protopteridae. The record is from the annotation of a RefSeq genome assembly.
AGCAGAGUGGUGCAGUGGAAAGCAUACUGGGCUCAUAACCCAGAGGCUGAUGGAUCAAAACCAGCCUCUGUUA